RNAcentral lists this unclassified non-coding RNA (448 nucleotides) under Hevea brasiliensis (rubber tree). Lineage: Eukaryota; Viridiplantae; Streptophyta; Magnoliopsida; Malpighiales; Euphorbiaceae. The record is from RNAcentral.
UUCCAGACCAGCCCAAGCACUAUUGAACAAUUUAAUUAUGGCACAUCUGAAGCAAUGAUGUGAACAGAUAGCAGAGAAGGGAUUGUAAGUUCUAAUUUUCUGUUUAACUAAAAAAGAAAUAUCAGCAUAUGAUAUAUACAUAUAAAUACGUAUUUACAAGCAAUUUCAAUCACAAACUGUUUUGGGAUAGCAAGUUCACAUUCCCCCCCUUCAUGUAAUAAUUUCUCUGGAAAUCAGUUCGAAAUCAUAAUAUCAUGUUCACUUCUAUCAUGAUGAAUCAAUUGUGUACAACCAUCCUCACAUAUGCCAACAAGAUUCCAAAUGACAUUACUAAAUCUAUUGCCCAACACCAGAACCUACCUUUCUCAAGGAAUGGAGAAUUUCCAACAACAUAUUUUACAUUUAAACCAAGAAAAAGAUAAAAAAAUGUUGGAGACAUCAAAAGGAG